GCGCCCAUAGCUCAAUUGGAUAGAGCACCGGACUUCUAAUCCGACGGUUGUAGGUUCGAGUCCUACUGGGCGCGCCA
RNAcentral lists this transfer RNA (77 nucleotides) under Coriobacteriaceae bacterium. Its description in RNAcentral is "tRNA-Arg". It matches the Rfam family "tRNA". From Rfam's summary of the family: Transfer RNA (tRNA) molecules are approximately 80 nucleotides in length. Their secondary structure includes four short double-helical elements and three loops (D, anti-codon, and T loops). Further hydrogen bonds mediate the characteristic L-shaped molecular structure. tRNAs have two regions of fundamental functional importance: the anti-codon, which is responsible for specific mRNA codon recognition, and the 3' end, to which the tRNAs corresponding amino acid is attached (by aminoacyl-tRNA synthetases). tRNAs cope with the degeneracy of the genetic code in two manners: having more than one tRNA (with a specific anti-codon) for a particular amino acid; and 'wobble' base-pairing, i.e. permitting non-standard base-pairing at the 3rd anti-codon position. The record is from RNAcentral. Lineage: Bacteria; Bacillati; Actinomycetota; Coriobacteriia; Coriobacteriales; Coriobacteriaceae.